CCCGGCACCGGCUGAGCCCCGGCCGUGAGGGGAGCGCUCCCGUGCGUUCUGCUGCCAGCUGAACCCCGUGGCUGCGGCUGUUUGCCGUAUCUCUGUCACAGCACUCUGCCCGGCUCUUCAAACCCAAUCUUAGUGGGGCAGAAGUGUCAUAUGACACAGGGGUGACUGCCAAAUGUCAUCCAGUUUUGACAUAAUGCCUUGGCAGAAAACAGCGAUGCUCAAGAGGAGACACAGUAUUAAUUCUACCAGAGAAACUGGGGCUGUGAGCUACCAUGACAGCAGCACACACAACAGCCAGCCUGCUGCUCCAGAGGGAAUGACAGCUUCCGAGCCAUCCAGCAGGGACUGAGGAUUCCUCCUGCAUGCAGAGACAGUCCUGCUACUGGGAAGAUGAUGAGCUGAACCUCAAGUCAAAAUUAAAGAGCUCAGGUGCUGAAUCAGGACCUUAUUAAAAGUGAGCAGAUAUCUUCACCUGCUACUUCUGCUGCCCUGUUGUUGUGGUUUUAUCUACUG
Long non-coding RNA from Parus major (Great Tit), 513 nucleotides. RefSeq lists it as uncharacterized. The record is from RefSeq and is a predicted model, not a curated record. NCBI's taxonomy places the organism in Eukaryota, Metazoa, Chordata, Aves, Passeriformes, Paridae. The transcript has 3 exons.